This 465-nucleotide ribosomal RNA is filed under the name Vreelandella stevensii. RNAcentral describes it as "partial 16S ribosomal RNA". It matches the Rfam family "Bacterial small subunit ribosomal RNA", at positions 338 to 795 of the family's 1533-position model. The record is from RNAcentral. Lineage: Bacteria; Pseudomonadati; Pseudomonadota; Gammaproteobacteria; Oceanospirillales; Halomonadaceae.
CCUACGGGUGGCUGCAGUGGGGAAUAUUGGACAAUGGGCGAAAGCCUGAUCCAGCCAUGCCGCGUGUGUGAAGAAGGCCUUCGGGUUGUAAAGCACUUUCAGUGGGGAAGAAAGCCUUGGGGCUAAUACCCUCGAGGAAGGACAUCACCCACAGAAGAAGCACCGGCUAACUCCGUGCCAGCAGCCGCGGUAAUACGGAGGGUGCGAGCGUUAAUCGGAAUUACUGGGCGUAAAGCGCGCGUAGGCGGUCUGAUAAGCCGGUUGUGAAAGCCCCGGGCUCAACCUGGGAACGGCAUCCGGAACUGUCAGGCUGGGGGGCAGGAGAGGAGGGUAGAAUUCCCGGUGUAGCGGUGAAAUGCGUAGAGAUGGGGAGGAAUACCAGUGGCGAAGGGGGCUUUCUGGACUGAAACGGACGCUGAGGUGCGAAAGCGUGGGUAGCAAACAGGAUUAGAUACCCUAGUAGUC